CUUGGCUGCUCCCUCAUUGCAUUGCCAAACGAAGUAUGAGACCUGAAUGGGAGGAAAAAAAAGAAAUCAAGAUUUUAUUCUGUUCUGUUACUGUUUUUAUUAAACAGAAUCUACAUUAAAGAAGUGAGUAUAUAAAAGGAAAAAACAGAAAACUAAUAACGUCUAUAGUUUGCUAAUAAUAGGUAGAUGAGAUAGAAGCGGACAUACCAACUCCAGGGUGGGCAUAUACCUCGCACUUUUCUAUUUAUAGACUAUCAGUUACUUAACUUCCAACCAUAUCGCAUCUAUACUUCGCAGAUAUGAACUGCCUUCACUGCGCCGAAGUUUUCGUCUCUGUCUUUGUCCUUCUGUCCUAA
Long non-coding RNA from Arabidopsis thaliana (thale cress), 356 nucleotides. RefSeq annotates it as other RNA. The record is from RefSeq. NCBI's taxonomy places the organism in Eukaryota, Viridiplantae, Streptophyta, Magnoliopsida, Brassicales, Brassicaceae. The transcript has a single exon.